This 133-nucleotide unclassified non-coding RNA is filed under the name uncultured Pestalotiopsis. Its description in RNAcentral is "sequence contains ITS1". Lineage: Eukaryota; Fungi; Ascomycota; Sordariomycetes; Amphisphaeriales; Amphisphaeriaceae. The record is from RNAcentral.
CAGAGUUAUUCUAACUCCCAAACCCAUGUGAACUUACCAUUGUUGCCUCGGCGGAGCUGUUCUGCAGCGCCGCCGGUGGACAUACCAAACUCUUGUUAUAUAUUGUCAUCUGAGAGUCUUAUUUAAUAAGUCA